GUGAUCUACCCAUGUCCAGGAUGAAGGUAAGGUAAUACUUACUGGAGGUCCGAACCCACGCACGUUGAAAAGUGCGGGGAUGAGGUGUGGGUAGCGGAGAAAUUCCAAUCGAACUUGGAGAUAGCUGGUUCUCUCCGAAAUAGCUUUAGGGCUAGCCUCGAGGUAAAGAGUCAUGGAGGUAGAGCACUGUUUGGACUAGGGGCCCUUCUCGGGUUACCGAAUUCAGAUAAACUCCGAAUGCCAUGUACUUAUACUCGGGAGUCAGACUGCGAGUGAUAAGAUCCGUAGUCGAAAGGGAAACAGCCCAGACCACCAGUUAAGGUCCCCAAAUAUAUGUUAAGUGGAAAAGGAUGUGGGGUUGCUUAGACAACCAGGAUGUUGGCUUAGAAGCAGCCACCAUUGAAAGAGUGCGUAAUAGCUCACUGGUCGAGUGACCCCGCGCCGAAAAUGUACCGGGGCUAAACAUAUUACCGAAACUGUGGAUGAACCUCUUUAGAGGUUCGUGGUAGGAGAGCGUUCUAAGGGCGGUGAAGUCAGACCGGAAGGACUGGUGGAGCGCUUAGAAGUGAGAAUGCCGGUAUGAGUAGCGAAAGAAGGGUGAGAAUCCCUUCCACCGAAUAUCUAAGGUUUCCUGAGGAAGGCUCGUCCGCUCAGGGUUAGUCGGGACCUAAGCCGAGGCCGAUAGGCGUAGGCGAUGGACAACAGGUAGAGAUUCCUGUACCAGUGCUAAUUGUUUAACCGAUGGGGUGACACAGAAGGAUAGGGAAUCGCACGAAUGGAAAUGUGCGUCCAAGCAGUGAGUGUGAG
This 807-nucleotide ribosomal RNA is filed under the name Listeria monocytogenes. RNAcentral's name for it is "partial 23S ribosomal RNA". It matches the Rfam family "Bacterial large subunit ribosomal RNA", at positions 725 to 1529 of the family's 2925-position model. The record is from RNAcentral. Lineage: Bacteria; Bacillati; Bacillota; Bacilli; Caryophanales; Listeriaceae.